AGUUUGAUCCUGGCCUAGAUUGAAUGCUGGCGGAUGCUUUACACAUGCAAGUCGAACGGCAGCACGGACUUCGGUCUGGUGGCGAGUGGCGAACGGGUGAGUAAUGUAUCGGAACGUGCCUAGUAGCGGGGGAUAACUACGCGAAAGCGUAGCUAAUACCGCAUACGCCCUUCGGGGGAAAGCGGGGGACCUUCGGGCCUCGCACUAUUAGAGCGGCCGAUAUCGGAUUAGCUAGUUGGUGGGGUAACGGCUCACCAAGGCGACGAUCCGUAGCUGGUUUGAGAGGACGACCAGCCACACUGGGACUGGGACACGGCCCAGACUCCUACGGGAGGCAGCAGUGGGGAAUUCUUGGGACAAUGGGGGGAAACCCUGAUCCAGCUACUCCCGCGAUGAAGGCCUUGGGUUGUAAAGCACUCUUUUGGCAGGAAAGAAACGCACGGGAUAAUACCCUGUGCAACUGACGGUACCUUACAGAAUAAGCACCGGCUAACUACGUGCCAGCAGCCGCGGUAAUACGUAGGGUGCAUGCUAAUCGGAAUUACUGGGCGUAGCGUGCGCAGGCGGUUCGGAAAGAGACAGAGAAUCCCAGAGCUUAACUUUGGGAACUGCAUUUUUAACUACCGAGCUAGAGUGUGUCAGAGGGAGGUGGAAUUCCGCGUGUAGCAGGAAUGCGUAGAUAUGCGGAGGAACACCGAUGGCGAAGGCAGCCUCCUGGGAUAACACUGACGCCUAUGCACGAAAGCGUGAGCAAACAGGAUUAGAUACCCCAGUCCACGCCCUAAACGAUGUCAACUAGCCGUUGGGGCCUUCGGCCUUUGGUAGCAGCUAACGGGCAGGGUUGACCGCCUGGGGGAGCACGGUCGAUUAAAACUCAAAGGAAUUGACGAUUCGCAUUACGGUGGGAUGAUGGGAUUAAUUCGAUGCAGUCUUAAACCUUACCUACCCUUGACAUGUCUGAAUCCCGAAGAGAUUUGGGAGUGCUCGCAAGAGAACCGGUGCCGCGGUGCUGCAUGGCUGUCGUCAGCUCGUGUCGUGAGAUGUUGGGUUAAGUCCGCAACGAGCGCAACCCUUGUCAUUAGUUGCUACGAAAGGGCACUCUAAUGAGACUGCCGGUGACAAACCGGAGGAAGGUGGGGAUGACGUCAAGUCCUCAUGGCCCUGAGGGCAGGGCUUCACACGUCAUACAACGGCCGGACAGAGGGUCGCCAACCCGCGAGGGGAGCCAAUCCCAGAAACCUGAUCGUAGUCCGGAUCGCAGUCUGCAACUCGACUGCGUAGUCGGGAAUCGCGCAGAACGUGGAUCAGCAUGUCGCGGUGAAUACGUUCCCGGUCCCAGACACACCGCCCGUCACACCAUGGGAGUGGGUUUUACCAGAGUAGUUACCCAACUGCAGGAGGGCGAUUACCACGGUAGGAUUCAUGACUGGGGUGAAGUCGCAACAAGGUAA
RNAcentral lists this ribosomal RNA (1451 nucleotides) under uncultured Bordetella sp. RNAcentral describes it as "partial 16S-23S ribosomal RNA intergenic spacer". It matches the Rfam family "Bacterial small subunit ribosomal RNA". The record is from RNAcentral. Lineage: Bacteria; Pseudomonadati; Pseudomonadota; Betaproteobacteria; Burkholderiales; Alcaligenaceae.